GAUAAUAAGGAUAUUACCCCAACUUGAAGUAUCUUUGAUUGACUAAGACAUAAUGAAGUACCUCCAAGAAAAGGUUAGUGAAAAAAUAAGUUUUCUCCUUCACUUUCACUCAUGUUUAUCUCACGAUCUCUCACACUACAACUUCUUCUGCCAAGUUGAGCAUUCGGAAUUAAAUCCGCUUAAAUGAGGAUUUACAUGUUAGUCUUAAUGACACGAUAAGGAAUCUUAAUGGGAUCUCAUUUCUAGAAGCUCAGAAGUAAGCACACAGAAGGAAUUGUACUUAAUUGAAGAUAAUAAAAUAAUUAAAAUCCUAAUCUAGACUCAAAAUAAAUUAAUAAAAUAAUAUUAUCUUAGUUGAAGAAAACUUCUUUUCCUCUUGUGGAAUUCACCAUGUAGCUUUUUUCUUUUUGGACUUCAAUUUUGUGUAGGAGUAUCUUUAAUUUCAACAUGGGAAUCAUGUGGGAAUAAGGAAAAAGGAAGAAGAGUCCUCUUCAGACUCAAGUUGGUUGUUGUUCGCAUGCAAUUGGUACGCAAGCUUGUUGUCUGCAUGCAAUUGGCGUGCGCUAAAACUUCCUCGCGAGUGUGGCUAGGACAGCCCGCUCAUGCGCUUUCCUAUGUGCGGCCUGCUCCUAUGUG
Molecule: long non-coding RNA, 636 nt
Filed under: Carica papaya (papaya)
Lineage: Eukaryota; Viridiplantae; Streptophyta; Magnoliopsida; Brassicales; Caricaceae
Description: long non-coding RNA (CPAP_LNC011593)
Source: RNAcentral